This 553-nucleotide ribosomal RNA is filed under the name uncultured Actinomycetes bacterium. RNAcentral describes it as "bacterial SSU rRNA". It matches the Rfam family "Bacterial small subunit ribosomal RNA", at positions 257 to 822 of the family's 1533-position model. The record is from RNAcentral. Lineage: Bacteria; Bacillati; Actinomycetota; Actinomycetes.
GUUAUGGCUUACCAAGGCGACGACGGGUAGCCGGCCUGAGAGGGUGUCCGGCCACACUGGGACUGAGAUACGGCCCAGACUCCUACGGGAGGCAGCAGUGGGGAAUAUUGCACAAUGGGCGCAAGCCUGAUGCAGCGACGCCGCGUGGGGGAUGACGGCCUUCGGGUUGUAAACCUCUUUCAGUACAGACGAAGCGCAAGUGACGGUAUGUACAGAAGAAGCACCGGCCAACUACGUGCCAGCAGCCGCGGUAAUACGUAGGGUGCGAGCGUUGUCCGGAAUUACUGGGCGUAAAGAGCUCGUAGGUGGUUUGUCGCGUUGUUCGUGAAAACCUGAGGCUUAACCUUGGGCGUGCGGGCGAUACGGGCAGACUGGAGUACUGCAGGGGAGACUGGAAUUCCUGGUGUAGCGGUGGAAUGCGCAGAUAUCAGGAGGAACACCGGUGGCGAAGGCGGGUCUCUGGGCAGUAACUGACGCUGAGGAGCGAAAGCGUGGGGAGCGAACAGGAUUAGAUACCCUGGUAGUCCAUGCCGUAAACGGUGGGCGCUAGGUG